ACCUGAGGCUUGGGAAGCCCUUCUGCAUUUUUCUACUGUUCCACAUGAAUUUUUGCCCCAUGAAGGUGAUGUAUUGAGCUCUUUCUUUUCACCGGAUAGGCUUGGAGACAGCCUAAUGUUUCCAAGAUUGGGUGUUCCUCUUCUUGUCUUUGCCUGCUGAGCAGGUGUUGGUAGGAGAAAGGACAUGAAUCUUACCCAUGGGACUCUUAACCACGUGCUGCAGUGAAAGAACUCGGAUAUCAAUGCACUUCAACUUUAUAAUAGAUCUGUUUAUCUGUUAUUUAUUACUGAAGACACUUUUUUUCCAGGCCAACUUAUUAGAAGUUCAUACAGAUUGUGAGGCAGUCAGUUUCCAUCUGUAGGAUGGGACUGUACACCACUGUUGGAGAACUUUUUUUUGUGGCUUUGGAGAAAGCGCGACACAAAAAUACGCAUUUAACUGUUGACAUGUGGACCUUUAACCAUGGCACCCAAGUUACCAAAUUGAUGUGUGGCUUUCCCUUAAUCCCCUCACCCCUGCCUUUCCAGCUUUGGACGCCGACACAGCACUAGGUGCCAGCUGCCAUGUUUUGCUUAUAUUGUAAAAUUAAUGAUUCAGGACUUUGAGCAGAGGAGCACUGAGAACAGGUUAGCAGUUGCUUAAGAGACUUGCUUAUUCAUACUGCUGAGGCCCAUAAAUUUUCAGGAACUCAAACAGCUUUCAAACCACCUUCCACAGGAUCACUGGAAGCAGGAAAUAGCUGCUCAGUGACCCUGUCUCUACCUUUUAUAUGUUAAAGUAGCUUUAAAACAGCAGAAGGUGGAGCGACUUCGGGAGAAUGGGGCUAUUCUCGGCUCAUUCCAGUGGUCCCAGAUGUCUGAUGGGCACAAGAUUCUUGGCCUGCAGGUGAAGGCCAGUGGGGAACUGCAGUUCUAAGUCAAGUGCUGCCAUCGGUCACCUCUUUCUGGCUUUUCAGAGCUCACUGAAAGACUUUGAAAUCAAAGGUGUCAGUGUCGCCCUUGGACUGAGAGGUGGGUGAUAUAUCCUAGCCUUGAAACUGGUUUUCUAAGGAGUGCUGUGCUGGGAUCUGAACGUUUUGUCUUGGCCACUUUACUGGAUCCCUGCUGUAAAGGUUGCUUUGAAGAAUUCCUUCUGGUGCCUCUUGAUGUGUCAAGCUCAAGACAGAUCUGUACUGAAGUGGUGUCUGAUCUGAUGAGUGCUUCAGUUCAGGGUUAUUUUUUGACAGUUCCAGAAACACCAGGCCAAUCAGCCCUUUCAGGAACAGAUGGAUUUGCUUCUCAUUUCAAGGAAGAACAUUGUAAUUUAAGUUCUUGAAGUGGCACAUCUUCAAAUAGAGUCGAUCCAGCUGUCGAGGCUGGUAACUCAGGGCUCUGGCCUUCAGAGAUCACCGUGAAAUGUGACUCCAGCUCAGUGGCAGAGGAAGCUGAGACGAUCAUCUGCUUCAACCUUUGCCUUCUUGGCCAGCAACCUUGUGGUCUUUGCUCUCAGAGGGUCUUGGUUGCUGUAACCCUCAGUCACAGAACUUGCCCCCAGUCCAUGUUUAGACAGUAUUUAACAGCUAGAAUUGACUAAACAAAUGCGAAGAGUAGAAAUUGAGACUUUUGCUCCAGUUUGGGACAACUUAGCUUUAGAUUUAGAAUGAGAUGUGUUAGUGAGAGGCUGUUCUGUGCUUCAGACGAGGUGAAGGUGUGUGAUGUGCGUGUUCUAACACACUGUUCCAGAUUGUGACACACAGCACACCAGCACGCACCAGCACACACCCACACACACUGUGCUCUCAGCCCGUGGAGGACAGGAGCAGGUAAAUCAGCAGCAGCUAUUUUACCUCUGGGGUGACACUGACCGAUUGAAACAGGGGGUUAGAACAUGUAGUUCCUGCUGCUCUUCCUUCCCUGUCAUCUCCCUCUACUGAUAAACAGGGGUGUCAAAACAUCUUUAAUAUUUUUGUAAGAAAAGACACAAAGUAGGCCAGCGAGUACCCCUGGGUAGAUGCAGUAACACUUCUCUUGUGCAUUUGUUGGGGUUCCCUUCUUGCUCUUUGGUAGCAGAUGAGGAAGCUGGAAAAAUGGACCAGGGAACAGGGCUCCUUCAGUACCAAGAAAGACAAGCUUGUAAAAUAAACUAGACAGACUUUCAUUACA
Molecule: long non-coding RNA, 2142 nt
Filed under: Calidris pugnax (ruff)
Lineage: Eukaryota; Metazoa; Chordata; Aves; Charadriiformes; Scolopacidae
Description: lncRNA (ENSCPUG00000016241.1)
Source: RNAcentral